This 253-nucleotide ribosomal RNA is filed under the name uncultured bacterium. RNAcentral describes it as "partial 16S ribosomal RNA". It matches the Rfam family "Bacterial small subunit ribosomal RNA", at positions 524 to 776 of the family's 1533-position model. The record is from RNAcentral.
UACGGGGGGGGCAAGCGUUGUUCGGAAUUACUGGGCGUAAAGGGCUCGUAGGUGGCCAACUAAGUCAGAGGUGAAAUCCCGGAGCUCAACUUCGGAACUGCCUUUGAUACUGGCAAUCUAGAGUCCGGAAGAGGUUAGUGGAAUUCCCAGUGUAGAGGUGAAAUUCGUAGAUAUUGGGAAGAACACCAGUGGCGAAGGCGGCUAACUGGUCCGGUACUGACGCUGAGGUGCGAAAGCGUGGGGAGCAAACAGG